GAAUCUGCCUGGUAGUGGGGGACAACGUUUCGAAAGGAACGCUAAUACCGCAUACGUCCUACGGGAGAAAGCAGGGGACCUUCGGGCCUUGCGCGGGUCAGAUGAGCCUAGGUCGGAUUAGCUAGUUGGUGAGGUAAUGGCUCACCAAGGCGACGAUCCGUAACUGGUCUGAGAGGAUGAUCAGUCACACUGGAACUGAGACACGGUCCAGACUCCUACGGGAGGCAGCAGUGGGGAAUAUUGGACAAUGGGCGAAAGCCUGAUCCAGCCAUGCCGCGUGUGUGAAGAAGGUCUUCGGAUUGUAAAGCACUUUAAGUUGGGAGGAAGGGCAGUGAGCGAAUACCUUACUGUUUUGACGUUACCGACAGAAUAAGCACCGGCUAACUCUGUGCCAGCAGCCGCGGUAAUACAGAGGGUGCAAGCAAUCGGAAUUACUGGGCGUAAAGCGCGCGUAGGUGGUUCGUUAAGUUGAAUGUGAAAGCCCCGGGCUCAACUAGGAACCGCAUCCAAAAC
Molecule: ribosomal RNA, 513 nt
Filed under: Pseudomonas japonica
Lineage: Bacteria; Pseudomonadati; Pseudomonadota; Gammaproteobacteria; Pseudomonadales; Pseudomonadaceae
Description: bacterial SSU rRNA
Rfam family: Bacterial small subunit ribosomal RNA
Source: RNAcentral